Molecule: non-coding RNA, 45 nt
Filed under: Schistosoma mattheei
Lineage: Eukaryota; Metazoa; Platyhelminthes; Trematoda; Strigeidida; Schistosomatidae
Source: RNAcentral
AUCCAUCUGACGAGUCACAAAUAGGACAAAGCAUGCGUCCUGGAU